Molecule: long non-coding RNA, 1353 nt
Filed under: Anas platyrhynchos platyrhynchos (common mallard)
Lineage: Eukaryota; Metazoa; Chordata; Aves; Anseriformes; Anatidae
Description: lncRNA (ENSAPLG00000020911.1)
Source: RNAcentral
AGCACUUCAGAACUGUUUCUAGAGCAGGAAAAGCCUGGCUGAAAGAACAACAAAUAUUGGAUGUGUUUUUUGUAGAGAAAAUGGCUGCUACAGUGUCAAGACAUUGUGUAAAAAGUGUUUUCAUUACUUGUAAAUUAGCCCAAGGGCUUGUCCUCCUCCUGUACUUCCUGCAGAGCUCCAGGGUGGUUUUAUUCACAACACUGAGCGCUGUUGCUAGGAGUCAAAGAAAAGCAUAAGUAUUUGUGGUUUUCCUUUUCCAGACACCAAAACAGAAAGCUGGCCACGUAGGCUGCAUUCUGUGUAGAUUCCACCUGGAGACAGUUUUCACUGGGCUGUUUCAGAGCUUUGGGCCUGGAAUGAAAAAAAGAAAUCUUUUUUUCAGCUUCCCUUCUCUCUAUGGCUGUCCACCCAUCCUAUACAGAGGGCAUCGUUCCCAAGUGAAAGAAAAGCAGCAUCAGACAAAAAAAAAAAAAAAAAAAAAAAAAAAACUGGGGGGGACACCAUCAGGAUGAAGAGGGCUCUGAGUAACCUCAGAAGGUAACGUGCCACAGACAAGCUUUGUCAGAAGUGCAGGGGUGAAAGUGGAGGUGUCCUUUGCUACCUGGCAAACCCUGCCAGAGCUGAAGCAUGGGCAGUACACAUCCAUAUGGAGCAAGCACCUCCCCUGAGCUUGGGUGAGAGCAGCUCUCAGGCUUCACCUGCCUUGUGCCUGUCCUGCAGGCUUCAGCUGGGGGGGGGGGGGGGGGGGUCUUUUCCCAAUUACCAGCCUCAUUGUUAUUGCUCCCACUCCCCCAUCCCUCCUCAUCAGGGUAAUUAACCGCCCGUUGCCUUUAGAUUUGUGCUCCCUCCCCACCCUCUCUUUCUCCCGAGGAAGAGAAGAGAUAAAAGGGAGGGCAGGGGCACUUCCACCAUACUGGUGGUCUGUAGGUGCACGUGCAGGGUGCAGAGCCUGGGCCCAGUAUGGUGACGGACCAGCCACUGCUUGUGUCAGACGGCAGAUCUGGACUCUGGCAGCACCAGCCAAUGCCUCAGGCUUGGGGAUAAUUGUGUUCUGGCCAAGCUGUGCAGCUACACUGUGUGCGGCUCCUUGCCAGGAGGGGACGAUGGCAUCAGGUGGCAUGCAGGAUCCCUCCCAUCCAGCAGGGACAAGUUAUGGAUGUACUCAUGAACUUUAGAAGAUUAAAAGGAAUGUUUGGGGCUUAGGUACCCUGAGCCCAGACUUAAGUCUUGUGCUCAGAUGAUGGAAAGAAAUGGAAUUUUUUAUUCAAUUUCAUCCCAUCUCAGAUGAAAGGAAACAAUCCAGAAGUGUUUGGUUCCGUCAGCAGCAGCUACUGGCUGGUUCCCUUCACCCUG